AGCACACUGAAGAAGUACCACUCCAAGUCUCUGCUCUUCAGCUUCGACUGACUUGGGAGAUCCCACGGCUCGGAUUUGUACACGUGGGUGACGGAGAUCGCGUCGAACUUAAAGGGUUUGUUGCAGAUCUUGCGUUUUAGGUAGUAACGGACGAGUUCUUCGUCCGUUGGGUGGAAUCGGAAACCAGCGUUUUAGGUAGUAACGGACGAGUUCUUCGUCCGUUGGGUGGAACCGGAACCCUGGAGCGAGCGACGACGUCUCUGAGGAGCCACCACGACGACCCAUUCGAACAGAUACAAGGUUUGGACGAGUUUUGGAAAUCGUGUCGGAGAAGAAAGAGAGAGGAUGUGAUUGGGAUUGGAGAGAAUGAGGGAAAAAGCGAAGCGGAGAAGACUUGAGAUGAGGACCAAACACAACUACUUCCGCGAGGUUUUAAAAU
This 439-nucleotide long non-coding RNA is filed under the name Brassica napus (rape). RNAcentral describes it as "long non-coding RNA (BNAP_LNC000954)". Lineage: Eukaryota; Viridiplantae; Streptophyta; Magnoliopsida; Brassicales; Brassicaceae. The record is from RNAcentral.